This is a non-coding RNA of Podarcis lilfordi (Lilford's wall lizard), 72 nucleotides long. The record is from the annotation of a GenBank genome assembly. Lineage: Eukaryota; Metazoa; Chordata; Lepidosauria; Squamata; Lacertidae.
GUUUAACAGCUCAGCUAGCAGAGCAUGAGACUCUUAAUCUCAGGGUUGUGAGUUUGAGCCCCACGUUGGGCA